This 3007-nucleotide long non-coding RNA is filed under the name Homo sapiens (human). RNAcentral describes it as "HSALNT0058676". The record is from RNAcentral. Lineage: Eukaryota; Metazoa; Chordata; Mammalia; Primates; Hominidae.
GUCCAAUACUUGAAAACCUACAUCUGUAACUUACACGUUCAUAUUACGAAGGGAAAUGUGGCUGACAAAUAUUUACACUAAAAAGACUCCACAUUUUUAUGCCUCGUCUAGUUACACUCCCAGCUGUGCCUGGCUAUGACUAGUUGUGCAUUCUAGAGCUCUUUAGAGCUACUUCAGAGUUGCAGGAUAAAGAUUUCUAGGGAAGAGGGCAGGGCCAGGCGCCCGGAGGAUUUCCAGCCACGGGUAGUUUACCGAGAGAAAAAGCUGCGGGCGUCGCUCCCUCUUUUACAUAAGAAAGGCUAAGCUCUAAAAGGCAGACAACUUCUUCCUGGCCCUUCGGAGAAGCUAGCCCUUGGAACCUAGGCCCUGAGUCGUGAGGAAGAGGAAAGACUACAUGGGGUCACUAUGUAAGGUGUUCCUGGUGACAGCUCCUGCUGAGGACCCAGCUGACAGCAAGCACCAACCUCCAGACAACAAGAGCUUUCUUCUGGCACAUCUGGUUUAUGUGAAUACAUUAGUGAGUUUCCCAGGAAGCCGCAGCAUCACACAAAGGCCCAUGAUCAUUUCACCAGGCCUCUCGAGUGUGCUUGUUUUAUUCAGAGGCUUUUUGCUUUCUUAGAAGACAUUCUCACUCAAUAAUGUGGCAAUACAGGCAAAAUCAGCAGGCCAAGUUUCUGGAAGAAGAGCCAUUUAGGAGCUGCUCCUCCUUCAGCAUGAAUGUCCACUCUCAGACUUUGACAGUGAUGAGGAUAUGCCAGAACACCUCUCUGGCCCUUCAGAGAGCACCGGCCUAGCUGGACUCCGGAUCCCUUAGGGUCCAGCUCUGACUUCCCAUGGAGGCUGUCACCAGCUCACUUCCCUGUGGAACAUCUUCCUGACUCACAACAGCAGCCAGCUCUGCCAGGACUAUGAGCUUCCAGGUACAGCCAUGUUGAGGGGCAUGGCCACAGAGCAGUGACUAAAGGGACUAGUCUACAAAGGAUGUUAAGAUAUUGCUUGGAAAAACUGCAAAUUUGGUGCCAGUUGCUGCAGGUUUUCACCAGUGACUCCUUAUGAAAUGGGCAAGAUGUUAAAAAAAAAAAAAGCUCUCUUCAAUGCACAUAGUAAACUCUUUAUCUUGAAAAUGAACAUGCGAUAAGAGAAAAAGUCAUUUUUAAUCACCACUCUCCUCUAAGCACAGUGAAUACUGGUAGCUGGAGUAUCUUCUGUUUGCUGAGCACCAACUGCAAUAUUCAUCUCUGGCAUUAAUAGCUUUUGACAUACUUGAAGCAGUAUUAAGCAGUGGGUAGGGGUAUGCCAAUUUAGAGAUAGACUCUUGGAAAGACCUCAGUGGAUCUGCUGAGGAAACAGAGAGAGGUUGAGAAGCUGGGAGUGAAGGCUGAGGAGGGUGAGAAUCAAAGGGGAAAAGGAGAGGGAUCAGAGGGGGCUGCAGGGCUCAGAAGAAAGACUCAGGAAAGGAGGCAAACCUAAUAGAAAAUUUUCAAAGCUGCAGUAUACUUUCACUUCUACAACUUUUACCAAAUGAGGUGUAAAUAUUUUUAAAGCGACAGCUUGAAGGGGUAGCCUAUUAUUAAGCUGUCUGAAGCACACGUGUCUCAGUCUAGCCAUUUUGAUGCCCCAUCCCUCAAGGGGCUCUGCUCUGUGGACCUUGCCUCCUGGCUUCAUCUCACCUGGUGCCUGGAUCACAGUCCCCAAGCAGGUGUAGACCUAGCUGGGGAGUGGGAUAAUACCACACAAAGGGGUGAAGGAGGUGGGAAAGUACAAGAGAAAGCUUUCUCUCUGAUUGAGAUGAACAUCUUAAAAAAGACCCCUUUAUGAACAAAUGUUUUUCUUGGUAUACUGGAAUUAAAACCCUACCCAAAGCGCUAGCAACAUAAACAUCGAGAAGCAAGAUAUAUCGAUCUGGGGGCAUUCGAAGGAGAAUGAUGUAUAAAGUCACAAAAGCAUGAAGUAGAAAAUGAGAUGAACACCAGGAAUACAGCAUUUCACAGAUACUAUUGAAGUAACUACAAUAGCCAGAAAAUGUAGUGUUCAGAUAAUCCACACAAAUAGGUGACUUGCAAGGAUGAGGCAGGGAAAUCUUUUCAUUAGUUGACUAAAAAUGUACAACCACAAAGAGUCUAGCUUAAGCUUCACGUUGCUCAGAAUAGCACUGCACUAGUGUAGAAUGCAGCAGGUCGUCACUGCGGAGGCUCAGAGGUUCCGACUCUGCUCCUCCGUAGCCACAGAUGAGUCUGAUGAGGAACUUUCUAUAAAUAAUAAAUGCCUCAGCCUUGUGCUGCAUUUGCCUUAUUUAAAGGUAACAGAUUACUGGAAAGGGUAAGCAAGCCCCUGGGGCUCAGGGGUAAGCCUCACAAACUCUGAGCAGCCUUUUAUGAGCUUUUGCAGUACAAUAAUCUAUAUAAACCUCCUGGUGAUUGUCUUAUCUAGAAUAAGUAUUUAGAUAACAGAGGCCAGCCCAAUUCUCCCUUUGCUUUUCCCUGGUUAUAUAACAAAAAAUGGUGGCAUAGAUGAUGUGUUCCUUCUACCCCUCCCUCUUUCCCAUUUGCACGUUAUUGAACUAUUUCCCUUAAUUCUCCUAUAAGCUGGUGGAAGAUACAGACAGAAUGGCCAGACUCUACACUUCCACUGACAUUUAAAGGUCAAGUCUCCUUGUAUCAUAAAUAAUGAUAUCUCCCUUCCACACGUAGGGAAAGGAUAACUGAAAAUUACCUAAGGUCAGAGGGGGAGGGAACCUUUGAAAGUUCACCUGGCAAAAGGACUUGAUUUACUGCAAUUUUGCUGAACACUUUAGCUGAGAUAGCUCGUUUCAUGAAGAGUUGAAGGAAGUUAACAUCAAAGGAUGAAUUCAUCCAGCUAUUGUUUUUCACCUCUGUUGUUAAUUGAUUUUAAUUUGGUUACCCUCUCAAUAAAUAAAGACUUCUAAAACUGGGUCAAUGACAUAAAUAGAAUCUGGUUUUCAAAUAUUUUCUUUCAUAUAGAGGCUUUUAAAAAAAUAUUGCUGGAC